GGGCCGAAUCACCAGAGAAACCACCAGCCUGACUUGUUAGAUUUUAUUUGUCCUGUUGUUUUGCGGAGAUGAAGCAAGCGGUUGCCCAGCCAGACCCAGCAAACACAAUUGGACCUGGCAGAGAGAGGACACAGAUGCUCUGCGUGAUGGGGAAAUCCCACCAGGGCCAGACGCUGCUAUAACUCAGCCCCUCCAGGGAGCAACCAUGAUCUCUGCAAACUGAUGAUGGAAGAAAGGGGAGCCAGAAGAUACUGUGCUCUGGAUUCCCAGGACAAUGGAUGGAGGACAGCCUGUCCCUUCACCCCUGGUACCCCUUGGGAACGGAUCAGAUUAUAGUAUGUCUCUGGAACAGAAAACAACAUUUGUUUUUGUGAUUCUGUUGUUUAUCUUUUUGGGCAUCCUCAUUGUCAGGUGCUUCCGGAUUCUUCUAGACCCAUAUCGGAGCAUGCCAACCUCAACCUGGGCUGACGGGCUUGAAGGUCUAGAGAAAGGGCAGUUUGACCAUGCCCUUGCUUAGUGGGGGCAUAGCAGGCUGCCCUCCCAAGGAGGCAAAGGGCUUAAUGUCUGAGCAAAGCUUCCUCUUUGUUGAAUGUUCUUAACAAAUGUAAUUUUUACCAUAACUGGCCCAAGGACAACGACCCAUUAUUUCGUAAACAUGCUAUUGUGUUAAAAGUGUCUUGAGGACAAUGGAAAGUUUAUAUCUCUAGACCCCAAGGAGGAAGGUGCAAACAUUUGUCUUUACUCAAUGAAUGAAUAUUGUUGAAGAUAUUGUAAAACCAAGCACACCAACCCUUGUGUAGAUUUCACUGUCAAAUGAAGCUCUGUCUGCUCAGAACAGAUAAUAAACCCGUGUAGAGACAAUGUUAAGGGGCUACAUAUUUCUUGCAAAGCAGGGAACACUAAGAAGCAGUGGUAGGGUUAGAAAAAUAGUUAUUUACUUAGUAACUCUGGAUGAGAAUGCUAUCAUUUUUAAUUUUUAAAUAAUGUUAAACUCAAAGUUCACAGAGUUUUGAAACUACCAGUCCUAAUCCAAUCUCUGUAUGCCUAUAGCUAACACAUUUAAAUGCAUUGAUGUAUAAUUUGAAUCUAUUGUACUUCCGUUCCUGUUGGAACUAAUGGGUUACAAGCACAACUUCAAGGUUAUAUUUUGAAAGAAAGAUGAUUGCUUAGCAAGAAGACUAUGGCUGGAAGAGGAUUAUGCAUUUUUAUGUGCAUAUAGUUACCAAAUAAAAAAUUUCAAGAUGC
Molecule: long non-coding RNA, 1245 nt
Filed under: Rattus norvegicus (Norway rat)
Lineage: Eukaryota; Metazoa; Chordata; Mammalia; Rodentia; Muridae
Description: long non-coding RNA NONRATT013455
Source: RNAcentral